Molecule: ribosomal RNA, 253 nt
Filed under: uncultured bacterium
Lineage: Bacteria
Description: partial 16S ribosomal RNA
Rfam family: Bacterial small subunit ribosomal RNA
Source: RNAcentral
UACGGAGGGGGCAAGCGUUAUUCGGAUUUAUUGGGCGUAAAGAGCGUGUAGGCGGCCAGAUAGGUCAGCUGUGAAAACUCGAGGCUCAACCUCGAGAUGUCGGCUGAAACCAUCUGGCUAGAGUCCGGAAGAGGAGAAUGGAAUUCCCGGUGUAGCGGUGAAAUGCGCAGAUAUCGGGAAGAACACCCGUGGCGAAGGCGGUUCUCUGGGACGGUACUGACGCUGGGACGCGAAAGCGUGGGGAGCGAACAGG